This 324-nucleotide unclassified non-coding RNA is filed under the name Bombus terrestris (buff-tailed bumblebee). RNAcentral describes it as "misc RNA ENSBTSG00005033152.1". Lineage: Eukaryota; Metazoa; Arthropoda; Insecta; Hymenoptera; Apidae. The record is from RNAcentral.
UCCUCGAAACGUAAUACGCAGAUAUAUCCGUAAAAUAUAAUAACACGCCUAGGAAACUGCACUUGAGAGAAAAUUUCUUUCUUUGCUGAUCAACUUGACUAGGAGAUAUUGGCCCGCCGAGGUACAAAAAUGUUUGACGGGCAGCGAAACAUAUUUUACGUGCGAGAAGUUCCACCGUGGACAAAAAUUUCAGAGCCCAAGAGGUUUGAAACGUAGAAUUGCCGGCGAAUGUAUAUCUAUACCUGAAUCCUCUUCUGAAACUUUCUACGAAUUGUAACUAUGGAGCAGUAUUUCCGGCACACUUUAGCAGAAACUCGACUCUCU